Molecule: microRNA precursor, 170 nt
Filed under: Oryza longistaminata (longstamen rice)
Lineage: Eukaryota; Viridiplantae; Streptophyta; Magnoliopsida; Poales; Poaceae
Description: pre miRNA MIR2118
Rfam family: MIR2118 microRNA precursor family
Source: RNAcentral
GCCAGGAACAGGAAGAAAAAGACGAUCUUACAAUUGCAGGAAUGAGAAUACGAAGGAAAGCCUAAGUGCUAAUAAUGUCCCCUCAAGCACUCGGAAAGACUUAGCUUCGUGUUUUCCUGAUGCUUCUCAUUCCUAUGGUUGUAAGGUUAUCCUUCCUAUUCCCUUGGGCU